AUGCCUAACACAUGCAAGUCGAACGCGUGGUUUCGGCCACGAGUGGCGCACGGGUGAGUAGCGCGUGGGUACCUGCCCUUGGGUACGGAAUAACCGCGGGAAACUGCGGCUAAUACCGUAUACGUCCCCCAGGCGAGAGUUUGGGGGAGAAAGAUUUAUCGCCCAAGGAGGGGCCCGCGUCCGAUUAGGUAGUUGGUGAGGUAACGGCUCACCAAGCCGAUGAUCGGUAGCUGGUCUGAGAGGAUGAUCAGCCACACUGGGACUGAGACACGGCCCAG
This 278-nucleotide ribosomal RNA is filed under the name uncultured bacterium. RNAcentral's name for it is "partial 16S ribosomal RNA". It matches the Rfam family "Bacterial small subunit ribosomal RNA", at positions 45 to 334 of the family's 1533-position model. The record is from RNAcentral.